Molecule: long non-coding RNA, 533 nt
Filed under: Medicago truncatula (barrel medic)
Lineage: Eukaryota; Viridiplantae; Streptophyta; Magnoliopsida; Fabales; Fabaceae
Description: long non-coding RNA (MTRU_LNC002532)
Source: RNAcentral
UCUUUUUCUCUCCUCCCAAUGGUGGAAAUUGAGAGGAUGAUAAAUGGAGAAGAUCUUAACUCCUUAAAUAGACUGGGUUAUAGAUGUUUAUCCAAUGGUCCGACAUACUCCCUUAAAUAGAUGAGUCAACUCUUUUCUUACUAACGGAAAAAAUCUUGAUUGACAUUAUUUCUUCACUUUCAAUUUGUUCAUGGCAUCUCGUGAUCACUGACUGUAUAACUUUUUUUUCCUUUGAAUUAAUGUCGACAAAGUGAAGGACCACUGCGUAGCAUAACAAUUUACCACAACCAGCAUGAGUGUUAAUGGACGGUGGAAUCAGAUCCUAAACAAAGAAACAAACAAAUCAAUGAUGUCAUGACACACGUAACAAAAUCAACAUAUUCCACGAAAAGUCGAAAAAGUUUACAAAGUCCAACAACACCUUGCUGCCCAAGUCCCGUGUUCCAUGUCUUACUAAGAAUCGAUUCUAUGCAUGCGUUCCCAAUUGUGUGGGUCCCCAAAUUCUCGGAACCCCCUAUUUAUUCAACACACAC